GUAAUGAAAAUUGUGACGUGAAUCGUCACGUGACUCGAAAAUUCGGGACAACUCGGAAAAAUUCGGAUAAGAUCGGUUGGAACCUCGAAAUACAUGGUUGAUGAUUUCGUGUCAAUUCGGCAAUAGUUGAAUGCGAUCCAAUAAUCUGUAAUAUUGAUUUUAUUAUAAAGUAAGUGAUGAAAAAUUUAGAAAACAAAUUAAAUCAUUUUUAUGUAACAUUAUAUUAAUUUUAAUUCAUAAUUUAUUUUUCUGGAAAUAUUUUACAGAUUAAAUUUUUCAAUAUUUCGUCUCUAAAAUAACCUAUAUCAUUUAAAAGAUUAUCUAACGGAAGAAGACUAGCAAUUGUCACAAAGUAUAAUUCAUCUACCCACAAUUACUUGAGUUUAAAUGGAUUGUUCUCUCGAGGGAUGAAUUAUGUUCCUCAUUAAUACGCCUGUUGAAAAGAUUGUAUAAAAUCAAGUUGAGAAGGUAAAGUACUAAAAUAUUUUUUUCUCGAAAUCUUUUAAAAAAUAAGAUCUUAUAAAACAAGUACAAAUAAUGUCUUCAUUUACACAUCUCUAAUAUAUAUUAUAAUAUGUUUAUACGAUAAAGUUUAACUAGUUUGGCGUUUAUAACAAGAAUAAAUUAUUAAUUCUUCCUAUUUAAAACAACAAGGAAUCGCAGCAGUAGCUUUGAUCCGAAGCUUGUACAUCUAAUAUCGCAUAUAUCUUAAAUUUCAAGCUUUCCAUUGUCGAUAAUUGCUGAUGUAUUAUUCAUUUGUUCCAAUCUCACGCCGGUAUUAACGAGCGAACUAUCGACAAAGUGGGCAUUAAAUAUUUAAAGCUUUUCAACUUUAACAAAAUAUAAAAGUUAUAAAUUA
Molecule: long non-coding RNA, 859 nt
Organism: Apis florea (little honeybee)
Lineage: Eukaryota; Metazoa; Arthropoda; Insecta; Hymenoptera; Apidae
Source: RefSeq, a predicted model, not a curated record